RNAcentral lists this long non-coding RNA (260 nucleotides) under Phoenix dactylifera (date palm). Its description in RNAcentral is "long non-coding RNA (PDAC_LNC000578)". Lineage: Eukaryota; Viridiplantae; Streptophyta; Magnoliopsida; Arecales; Arecaceae. The record is from RNAcentral.
AUAAAGCCUUGGAGGGGGUUAGUAAAAACAUGAUUUUAUCAUUUUAAAAUAUUAAAAGUAAUUUUUUACUUUUGUUUUUCUAAAAUAAUGAAAAUAUUUUUUAUAAAAUAAAAAUAAAAACUAUAACAUCAAACCUAGUUUUUCAUUUCAGUUUCUGUGUUUAAAAUAGAAAAACAAAAAUAAAAGCAAUACCAAUCAGGUUCUUAAGUUUUAUAGACAAGCAAACUUUAUACACCAGUCUAUCAUCAUCCUAUAGCCCA